GUCACGGAGUAAGCUCUGAAAAUGUGGUCUCCCAGGCCUGGCCCCCAGUGACCACACACCCACAUGCUCCCAGGAAGAGUAAGAAAAAAUGGAUAGACCGUGACGAUGCUGAAACUGUGGUGACUCUUCUUUAGGUGUACCGGAAGAGUCAACAGAAAAGAAAAUGCCUGUGGAUAUGUCCCUGGGAUAUGUCACACUACCGCUCUGCAUUAAAGAUGAAGGACUGACGGGCAGCCACUUCCAGGUAGAGGAUUGAUCCGCCCGUCAUAUUCCUAUCCUCACCAGUCAAGAAAGCCCCGUGUGAUGUGCUGGCUGAGCUCCAACCGGGGAUCGACCGUCUUCGCUGACCUUGACGGCAGACAAAAUACUCGACACAUGUAGGCUAUCUGGAUCUCCUUUUGUUUGGGUAUCUAGGGCGUACCCAUUUUAUAUCGAAUAGUUUUCCUUCCAUCGAUCUGUCUACCUAAUAUGUAUUUGUUGUUUAUCAGCUUGAUAUUGCAUUGCACCACCACCUUUCCCCCUUUUUUCCUCCCAUCAACUACAUUUACAUUUACUCGUGAUUAGAGAACAUUGCAGGAGAAAAAAAAAAUUAGGGUGUAGAUUUUUGUGACAGCGACUUGUUCUCUGCUGAUGCACAAGUUUCAUUCAUUAUUUAUAUGAGGUAUGUUUCUUUGUUUUAAAUGGAAUAUUUAUCUACUGCUCUUAUUUAUGUAUAUAUUUUCCCUUCACGUAAUUUUUGAUGAAAGCCACAUUAAUACAUACCGCGUUGCAGAGGACGUGCAGGCUAGUUUUGGAGAGACAGGAAAAAAAAAAAAAAAAACAAUGCAAAGGUGAGCUUGGAUGGAAGGAGAAAAGUAUUUUGCUUGACAAUGAAAUUUUCAUCCAAUAAAAACUAGUUCUGUCUUCAUCGAUACCAGCCUUUGGUGGAACCCUCGCACGACAGAGUGGAACGUCUCUCCUUGGAAUUUCAUGACUGACUGACUUAUAUGAGUUUUUUUUUCUAUCUUAUUGCUUUUUGACGACAACAAAGAUCGUAACCAUGUAGAAAAAAAAAUAAAAGACAUUGGCAAGAUCCUCAA
Molecule: long non-coding RNA, 1079 nt
Organism: Portunus trituberculatus (swimming crab)
Lineage: Eukaryota; Metazoa; Arthropoda; Malacostraca; Decapoda; Portunidae
Exons: 4
Source: RefSeq, a predicted model, not a curated record